RNAcentral lists this ribosomal RNA (253 nucleotides) under uncultured bacterium. RNAcentral describes it as "partial 16S ribosomal RNA". It matches the Rfam family "Bacterial small subunit ribosomal RNA", at positions 524 to 776 of the family's 1533-position model. The record is from RNAcentral.
UACAGAGGGUGCAAGCGUUAAUCGGAAUUACUGGGCGUAAAGCGCACGUAGGCGGUCUUUUAAGUCAGAUGUGAAAGCCCCGGGCUCAACCUGGGAAUUGCAUUUGAAACUGGGGAACUAGAGUGUGUGAGAGGGGGGUAGAAUUCCAAGUGUAGCGGUGAAAUGCGUAGAGAUUUGGAGGAAUACCAGUGGCGAAGGCGGCCCCCUGGCACAACACUGACGCUCAGGUGCGAAAGCGUGGGGAGCAAACAGG